GGCCGAGUGGCGGAAUUGGCAGACGCGCCGGAUUCAAAAUCCGGUAUCCUUUGGAUGUAUCGGUUCGAGUCCGGUCUCGGCUACUA
Molecule: transfer RNA, 86 nt
Filed under: Deltaproteobacteria bacterium
Lineage: Bacteria; Pseudomonadati; Myxococcota; Myxococcia
Description: tRNA-Leu
Rfam family: tRNA
About the family: Transfer RNA (tRNA) molecules are approximately 80 nucleotides in length. Their secondary structure includes four short double-helical elements and three loops (D, anti-codon, and T loops).
Source: RNAcentral